Molecule: unclassified non-coding RNA, 253 nt
Filed under: Hevea brasiliensis (rubber tree)
Lineage: Eukaryota; Viridiplantae; Streptophyta; Magnoliopsida; Malpighiales; Euphorbiaceae
Source: RNAcentral
AUCAACCUACAUAUUUGAUGUUGCAGAUCUUUUGAGAUACCACUAGAAACGGAGUUUGUCUUCAUUAAUGGCUGCCUUUCUUUGAACCAAAUCUUUGUGAAUAUGAGUUCCUUGAGAUAUUAGCGACUCUUAAUGAAUGGAGUUUGUUUGUGGUAGCCCGAAAUGGAAACAAUUGUGUGUGAGAAUUAAGUGGAGUAAAUGUCUAUCUAAUUUUUUUGGUACUGUGGUAGGUGUUCCGUCUUUCUGGAACAGG